This 397-nucleotide long non-coding RNA is filed under the name Dermacentor andersoni. RNAcentral describes it as "uncharacterized LOC126528084". Lineage: Eukaryota; Metazoa; Arthropoda; Arachnida; Ixodida; Ixodidae. The record is from RNAcentral.
GUGUGGGAUUUGUGAUGCCACUCAACAGGUGGCAUUACAUAUUCAAGUCUGCUUCCGACGGAAAGUGCUCAUUAGAGGUGGCAUGGCACCUGUGGACACCAGUGCAAGCAGGUGAAAGCAGCCUGACUGGACAGGCCUGCCGGACAAUGUGCCGCGCAUCUGGGAAGCUUCCGGCAACACCGGAGAAAGUGGCUGCUUUGAAGAACUGCCUGGAGAAAUACAUAAGUGACCAUCCAAUGAUGCCACCUGCACCACAUCCGGAGAACCACCUUGCUUCCCUGCGAAAGCACCUUUGGAGCUUUCUUUUACACAAGCAGGACGCCAGGGCAAGGGAGUGGAAAAGUAAAUACAGUACAAGUCCAGUGAGGCUUUUUCAAUAAAGUGUGAUGAUAUGCUA